CAGUGGGGAAUUUUGGACAAUGGGCGAAAGCCUGAUCCAGCAAUGCCGCGUGCAGGAUGAAGGCCUUCGGGUUGUAAACUGCUUUUGUACGGAACGAAAAGGCUCUGGCUAAUACCUGGGGCACAUGACGGUACCGUAAGAAUAAGCACCGGCUAACUACGUGCCAGCAGCCGCGGUAAUACGUAGGGUGCGAGCGUUAAUCGGAAUUACUGGGCGUAAAGCGUGCGCAGGCGGUUUUGUAAGACAGAGGUGAAAUCCCCGGGCUCAACCUGGGAACUGCCUUUGUGACUGCAAAGCUGGAGUGCGGCAGAGGGGGAUGGAAUUCCGCGUGUAGCAGUGAAAUGCGUAGAUAUGCGGAGGAACACCGAUGGCGAAGGCAAUCCCCUGGGCCUGCACUGACGCUCAUGCACGAAAGCGUGGGGAGCAAACAGGAUUAGAUACCCUGGUAGUCCACGCCCUAAACGAUGUCAACUGGUUGUUGGGUCUUAACUGACUCAGUAACGAAGCUAACGCGGAAGUGACCGC
Molecule: ribosomal RNA, 525 nt
Filed under: bacterium enrichment culture
Lineage: Bacteria
Description: bacterial SSU rRNA
Rfam family: Bacterial small subunit ribosomal RNA
Source: RNAcentral